UACGUAGGUGGCGAGCGUUGUCCGGAUUUACUGGGCGUAAAGGGAGCGUAGGCGGACUUUUAAGUGAGAUGUGAAAUACUCGGGCUCAACUUGAGUGCUGCAUUUCAAACUGGAAGUCUAGAGUGCAGGAGAGGAGAAUGGAAUUCCUAGUGUAGCGGUGAAAUGCGUAGAGAUUAGGAAGAACACCAGUGGCGAAGGCGAUUCUCUGGACUGUAACUGACGUUGAGGCCCGAAAGCGUGGGGAGCAAACAGG
This 253-nucleotide ribosomal RNA is filed under the name uncultured bacterium. Its description in RNAcentral is "partial 16S ribosomal RNA". It matches the Rfam family "Bacterial small subunit ribosomal RNA", at positions 524 to 776 of the family's 1533-position model. The record is from RNAcentral.